AGACAGGUAAGCUAAAUUAAAGCUAACGGGUUCAUGCCCCGACGAUGGAUCAUAUCCCCUUUCUG
RNAcentral lists this transfer RNA (65 nucleotides) under Eurycercus lamellatus. RNAcentral's name for it is "tRNA-Met". Lineage: Eukaryota; Metazoa; Arthropoda; Branchiopoda; Diplostraca; Eurycercidae. The record is from RNAcentral.